RNAcentral lists this transfer RNA (88 nucleotides) under Caulerpa verticillata. Its description in RNAcentral is "tRNA-Ser". It matches the Rfam family "tRNA". From Rfam's summary of the family: Transfer RNA (tRNA) molecules are approximately 80 nucleotides in length. Lineage: Eukaryota; Viridiplantae; Chlorophyta; Ulvophyceae; Bryopsidales; Caulerpaceae. The record is from RNAcentral.
AGGAAAGGUGGCAGAGUGGUUGAAUGUUCCGGUUUUGAAAACCGGCAUAGCUCAAAACUAUCGGGGGUUCGAAUCCCCCCCUUUCCUU